AUUGAACGCUGGCGGCAGGCCUAACACAUGCAAGUCGAACGGUAACAGGAAGCAGCUUGCUGCUUCGCUGACGAGUGGCGGACGGGUGAGUAAUGUCUGGGAAACUGCCUGAUGGAGGGGGAUAACUACUGGAAACGGUAGCUAAUACCGCAUAACGUCGCAAGACCAAAGAGGGGGACCUUAGGGCCUCUUGCCAUCGGAUGUGCCCAGAUGGGAUUAGCUAGUAGGUGGGGUAACGGCUCACCUAGGCGACGAUCCCUAGCUGGUCUGAGAGGAUGACCAGCCACACUGGAACUGAGACACGGUCCAGACUCCUACGGGAGGCAGCAGUGGGGAAUAUUGCACAAUGGGCGCAAGCCUGAUGCAGCCAUGCCGCGUGUAUGAAGAAGGCCUUCGGGUUGUAAAGUACUUUCAGCGGGGAGGAAGGGAGUAAAGUUAAUACCUUUGCUCAUGGACGUUACCCGCAGAAGAAGCGCCGGCUAACUCCGU
Molecule: ribosomal RNA, 489 nt
Filed under: uncultured bacterium
Lineage: Bacteria
Description: partial 16S ribosomal RNA
Rfam family: Bacterial small subunit ribosomal RNA
Source: RNAcentral